RNAcentral lists this ribosomal RNA (253 nucleotides) under uncultured bacterium. RNAcentral's name for it is "partial 16S ribosomal RNA". It matches the Rfam family "Bacterial small subunit ribosomal RNA", at positions 524 to 776 of the family's 1533-position model. The record is from RNAcentral.
UACGGAGGGUGCGAGCGUUAAUCGGAAUCACUGGGCGUAAAGCGUGCGUAGGCGGCUUUGCAAGUCAGACGUGAAAGCCCUCGGCUCAACCGAGGAAUUGCGUUUGAAACUGCUUAGCUAGAGUCUCGGAGAGGUUGGCGGAAUUCCAGGUGUAGGAGUGAAAUCCGUAGAUAUCUGGAGGAACACCGGUGGCGAAGGCGGCCAACUGGACGAGUACUGACGCUGAGGUACGAAAGCGUGGGGAGCAAACAGG